CCUAACUUCAGGUGAUCCACCACCUUGCCUCCCAAAGUGCUGGGAUUACAGCCGUGAGCCACUGCGCCUGGCCUAUUUACUUUGUUGAGACAGGGUCACACUCCAUUGCCCAGGCUGGAAUGCAGUAAUGUAAUCAUGGCUCACUGCAGGUUUGACCUCCUGGGCUCAGGUGAUCCUCCCACCUCAGCCUCCUGAGUAGCUGGGACCACAGGCACGUGUCACCACGCUUGGCUCAUUUUUUGUAUUUUUAGUAGAGAUGGGGUUUUGUCAUGUUGCCCAGGCUGGUCUCAAACUCCCGGGUUCAAGCAAUCUGCCUGCCUUGGCCUUCCAAAAUGCUGGGAUUACAGGUGUGAGCUACUGCACUAGGCAGGACAUAUGUUUUAUUUCUCUUAGUGCCUUAAUAUGUAUGCCUCAUCUCUCCGAAGUGGUGGACCCUGUUUACCUGCUCUGGAGAAUGGCUGCCUGUGGCAGACACAGGAGUUGCUCUCACACUGUGCUUCCUGUCUUCCAUAGUAACUGAGUUGUAGCUGCGAUGCAGCUACUAACCAGGAAUAGUUUCUCAGCCCCACACCUUGCACCUACAGCUAAGUGUGGCCAUGUUCUCAUCAACGAAGUGCGAAUAGCAACAAAGUGCACCACCUUCAGGUUGAGGCUUUGAAGAAGCAGGGGUACCCUUCCCUUGCUCUCUUUCCCCUUGUGCUGGUGGGAUAUAUAUAACAAUAAGGCCCUGGGUGAUAGUAGCCACCAGAUGCAAA
Molecule: long non-coding RNA, 755 nt
Filed under: Homo sapiens (human)
Lineage: Eukaryota; Metazoa; Chordata; Mammalia; Primates; Hominidae
Description: non-protein coding lnc-PREPL-1:1
Source: RNAcentral